Penaeus monodon (black tiger shrimp) is the source of this 472-nucleotide long non-coding RNA. RefSeq lists it as uncharacterized. The record is from RefSeq and is a predicted model, not a curated record. Lineage: Eukaryota; Metazoa; Arthropoda; Malacostraca; Decapoda; Penaeidae. The transcript has 3 exons.
CCUCGUCGCUGAAGGAGAGGUUGGGGUAGGCUCCGCCCACCGUGCUGAUGGUCUUGGGUUCCUGGCGCCGCCGCCCGGACCUGCCUCGCUGCCUGCGGAGGGGAGGAGCUUCGUUCAUUAGAUAAUGAUAAUGGCGCCGUCGGUGCCGUCGGAGACUCACCGCCUGUAGGCGAGGAAUCCCGCAGCAAUGAGAAUGAGGCCCAGCAGCGCCCCCAGGAUCCCGACGGCCACUUGGUACCCAACGGUGUUCGGACCCUCGGGCUGCGGCGGGUCGAAGGCGUCCCUCUCUUCGAAGGAGCUCGCCUCCUGGUUGGUGUUUCCUUCGGUCAGUUUCCUACAAGAAGAUAAGGAACAGGAGUUUGAAUAUAUGGAAAGUCAAUGGAGCACGUAGAUACAAGAUGCUCUCAUCAUCCUAAAAUUCCAGUGUGCAAAAACAUAUAAGCUGUAUAUGAAUAAAAUCAACAAUGUUUUA